AUGGCCGUGGCGUGGAACGACGGGGCAGCGGGAACCAAGUGGCUGAAGCACUACUCCUCAGCGCAGAGCAUCCUGGUCGUCGGCGACGGGGACUUCUCCUUCUCGCUGGCGCUCGCCACCGCCUUCGGCUCCGGCGCGAACCUCGUCGCCACGUCCCUCGACUCCUACGCGGAACUGAACAUCAAGUACAGCGACGGGACAUCCAACGUGGCGAAGCUUGAGGCGAUGGGCGCCACGGUGCUACACGGCGUCGACGUGAAAGAUAUGAAUCUCCACGCCAAUCUGCAGCUGAGAUGGUUCGAUCGGAUCGUCUUCAACUUCCCUCACGCCGGGUUCAAUGGACGCGAGGACAAAGUGGAUGUGAUCAAGUCGCACCAGGAGCUGGUGAGGAGCUUCUUCGCCACCGCCCGGCACAUGCUCUGGCGUCACGGCGAGAUCCACGUCACCCACAAGACCAAGCACCCCUACUCGAUGUGGGGUAUCGAGCAGCUGGCCUCUCAGUCCUCGCUCGCUAUGGUCGAGCAAGCUGCCUUUCAGAUACAAGACUACCCUGGCUAUAACCAGAAGAGAGGGUCGAGCUGGAGGUGCGACCAAGACUUCCCUAUAGGUGAUUCCUUCACCUUCAAGUUCUGCUUGGGAUGA
RNAcentral lists this ribosomal RNA (642 nucleotides) under Triticum aestivum (bread wheat). Its description in RNAcentral is "partial small subunit ribosomal RNA". The record is from RNAcentral. Lineage: Eukaryota; Viridiplantae; Streptophyta; Magnoliopsida; Poales; Poaceae.